Non-coding RNA from Marmota flaviventris (yellow-bellied marmot), 655 nucleotides. Lineage: Eukaryota; Metazoa; Chordata; Mammalia; Rodentia; Sciuridae. The record is from RefSeq and is a predicted model, not a curated record.
AAUGGCAGCAUUUCGUUCCCUUUGCCGGGUGACCAAAGCAACAGGCUCUUGGACUACUAGCUGCUCUCCUGAACGGCUCCCCUGUCUACUCCUCAUCCUGGAUCCUAGACUUACACCAAAGCCCACCACCCUGCUUUUUGGCUCUGCACCCGCAACCUACUGCCAUCUGUAGCCCUGCCAUGGAUGGGACGUCAUUCCCUCUCAGUCACUUAGAGCUGCCACACUGGGCUCCCAUGGAGGUGACUUGUGUGUGACUAAGUGAGCCAUUCUGCCUGAGCUUGUGUCUGAUGUUGCCAUCUUGGUAUUUUGGUUCCUGUGGGCUGUGGUUUGCCAUAAACCAAGCACAAACACAUUGAAAACACCAGACUCAAGGAUUGCUGCAGGAGACAGACAGACGGUGGUGCUGUCAUGGCGAUGCUGUCUCCGAGAUGGGGAUGACCAUCUGCUGUUAUCAGUGUGGAAGAUGCCGCUCGGGGAGGAGAGCAUUGAGGGUGGAAUGAAGAAAUCAAAUGCCUGGAGCGGAAGCAGCCUGCAUGUAGCCACAUGGGAGAAGCUCAGAAGAUCAGCAAGAAAUUAGCCCUGCAAUCACGGAGCUGUUCUCAGUUGUUCACCCAAAGAAUUCUUAUGUGGAAAAGAAAUUUCUUAUUUCUUUAAA